This 253-nucleotide ribosomal RNA is filed under the name uncultured bacterium. RNAcentral describes it as "partial 16S ribosomal RNA". It matches the Rfam family "Bacterial small subunit ribosomal RNA", at positions 524 to 776 of the family's 1533-position model. The record is from RNAcentral.
UACGUAGGGUGCAAGCGUUGUCCGGAAUUAUUGGGCGUAAAGAGCUUGUAGGCGGUUUGUCGCGUCUGCUGUGAAAUUUCGGGGCUCAACCCCGAACUUGCAGUGGGUACGGGCAGACUAGAGUGUGGUAGGGGAGACUGGAAUUCCUGGUGUAGCGGUGAAAUGCGCAGAUAUCAGGAGGAACACCGAUGGCGAAGGCAGGUCUCUGGGCCACUACUGACACUGAGGUGCGAAAGCGUGGGGAGCAAACAGG